UUUCAGUCAGCUUGGAUGGUUCCCAGUGGGCGAUUGAUCUUCAUAUGAUGUUAUUUGCCUAUUCUGGAAAAUAAUAGGACAUUAACAUUAUUUGGGAUCAAAUUCCAAAGACAGUCAAGAUUAUUUUUAAAGUCGUGUAAGUUUCUUCUUCUUCUAGCCUUCUUUUUUUGCUUUUUUUGCUUAUUUUUUAGCUUUUGUCUACUGCUAUUGAUUUUUCUGCUCCAGUAUCUAAUUUAGGGGAUUUUAACAGAACUAAUUCUGUCAUGCUCUUUGUUUGUUCUAGGAUUUGAUUUUGGGUUGAUUUAGUUUGAUUAAUCAGUAUUUUUCCUGCUCUUCAAUUUUGUUUACUUGUAUUCUUAGAUUUUUAGUUCCUGAUUUCUUGUUCUCUUCUGUUUGCAUUAACUCCAUGUAAUUUCAUUUGUUCUUAAUUUUUUGGGCUUGACUGAUAUUGGAAUUAAUUCUGGCUUUUCAGGUUAGAUUCUAUAGUUAGUUUUGGAUUUUGAUUCUUAAAAUAGGAAAAUUAGGCUAUUAGUUCAAUUUUGGGAGGGUUUAAUUAUAAUUGAAUUGAUUUAACAUUGCUGAACAUUUCCAGCCCCUUGGCUAAUUAACUAUGGUCAUUUUUGACCAGGUUUAAAAGGGAUGGGUUUAUGUUGACAUAUGUUAGUAAUUUUAGGAUUAAUUCAGGGGUAGUUUAGGUAUUAUUAUAAAAAGAAUCUUGCAGUAACUGAAUUGAAGCCCCUUAGAACCUUCUAGAUUAAGGUUCUAAUUUGAAAUUCAAGAAUUGGGUAGCAUAACUUGACCAACAAGUCAUAAAUUGAAGGACUAAGUAGCUAAAAACUGAAAUUAAAUGAGGGAAUAAGGGUGUAAAGUAAACAAUCUACAAAUUGCCCUAGCUUGGCCUAUAAAAAGGGUAAUCCCUUGCCUUGCAAAAAAGGGGGAGAGAUCUGAAAAUUUGGAGAGGUUUGGAGUUCCAGAAGUCUGAAAAAUUCAAAAACUCAAAAUUUUUUAGAUCCAGAGAUCUUAAAAUUCAAAAUUCAAAUCCAAAAACCAAAAAAAAAAAAAAAAUCUUACAACCUGAUAGUUGAGAGAUAAUAUUGAAAAUCAACAAAAAUUCUAUAGAAACUGAGAGUUUUGAGAAUUUAGAGUUUUAUAUCUUAGAUUUAUAGACAUAAAAAAGUUUUGCAACUUUAGUGUUAAGGUUGAGAGGUCCCUUGGGUUAUUUGAAGUUCAGUUUGGAGUCACUCAAGCUUAGAUUGUUUAUUUACUGGUGCUGUUUGCAUUGAAAGCAUUUCCUGGGAUGUUUGAUAAAAUUUUUGGGUUUAAAAUUGAUCUUAAGUUGAUGGUUCCUGUUACAUUACUGCUGCUGAACUUGCUGCCUCUUACCUCUGCCUUAUUUCCAUUUUCAGGUAUUUCCUUUGGCGCAUAACUGAGGAUCAACUGCUAAACGUGUAAUAGAUUUUAAGUACUUUGAAGGAUACAUUCAAGUCUUAUCUCCAUGUUAUUUUACUGUUUUCAUGUUUCACAAAUUUAGCUAUAGAAUCAUAGGUAAUGAGUAG
This 1556-nucleotide long non-coding RNA is filed under the name Nicotiana benthamiana. RNAcentral describes it as "long non-coding RNA (NBEN_LNC016442)". The record is from RNAcentral. Lineage: Eukaryota; Viridiplantae; Streptophyta; Magnoliopsida; Solanales; Solanaceae.